AAACACUUGCACAAGGUGAUGAAGAAGAAGAAGAAGAAGAAGAAGAAGAAGAAGAAGAAGAAGAAGAAGAAGAUGAUGAUGAUGAUGAUGAAGAUGAUGAAGAAGAAGAUGAAGAUGAUGAUGACGAUGAAGAAGAAAAUGAUGAUGAUGAUGAAGAAGAUGAAGAUGAAGAUGAAGAUCAUGAUGACGAUGAUUGAAUGUUCGACUAUUUUACAUAUUGUAGCAAAUUGACUACCUUAACUUUUUUAUGCAAUAAUUUGAAAUUCACUUUAAUUUGUAGCGAUCCAUCCUUAGUGUUUUCUAUUGCUUCACUUUAUUUGUACAUAUAUUCAAUGCAGUAAUGACAGGAGAAGGUAAAGACCGUCCUGAUAAAGGAAAGGGGAUAGCCAAGCCUAAAAAAAGGCAACGGACCGCAAAGUAUGUACUUAGGGUGCGUGAUGCACUACCUACCCCUACUCCUGCAGUACACCCUCCCCCUACUCAUACAGUAAACCCUCCUCCUCCUACCCCUGCAGUACACCCUCCUCCUCCUACCCCUGCAGUA
RNAcentral lists this long non-coding RNA (544 nucleotides) under Vigna radiata. RNAcentral describes it as "long non-coding RNA (VRAD_LNC010398)". Lineage: Eukaryota; Viridiplantae; Streptophyta; Magnoliopsida; Fabales; Fabaceae. The record is from RNAcentral.